This 213-nucleotide non-coding RNA is filed under the name Hyphomicrobiales bacterium. The record is from RNAcentral. Lineage: Bacteria; Pseudomonadati; Pseudomonadota; Alphaproteobacteria; Hyphomicrobiales.
GGGUGACCCCGUUCGACAGGUUCCCGCCCGGGCGGGACGAAAAGGGAAUGCGACGGACACCGUCCCCAUCGCAGCCGACCCCGCGACUGUAGAGCGGCGAGGAACGAAGCCAAGCCGGCCAGACCGGCGGCCACUGGACCCAUGGGUUCGGGAAGGCGGCUUCGACGCCUUUGACCCGCGAGCCAGGAGACCUGCCUGUCGGCAAGGGCAUUC